RNAcentral lists this ribosomal RNA (253 nucleotides) under uncultured bacterium. RNAcentral's name for it is "partial 16S ribosomal RNA". It matches the Rfam family "Bacterial small subunit ribosomal RNA", at positions 524 to 776 of the family's 1533-position model. The record is from RNAcentral.
UACGAAGGGGGCUAGCGUUGCUCGGAAUUACUGGGCGUAAAGCGCACGUAGGCGGCUUUUUAAGUCAGGGGUGAAAUCCUGGAGCUCAACUCCAGAACUGCCUUUGAUACUGGGAAGCUUGAGUCCGGAAGAGGUGAGUGGAACUCCGAGUGUAGAGGUGAAAUUCGUAGAUAUUCGGAAGAACACCAGUGGCGAAGGCGGCUCACUGGUCCGGUACUGACGCUGAGGUGCGAAAGCGUGGGGAGCAAACAGG